UUUAAAGUUUGUUUCGUUUUUACUAAAACGAUAAUCUUUAUUGCGCUGUUACCAAAUAAUAAAGGCAUUGAGGGUACAACAGAUAGAUCGAAGAUCGAAGCACAACAAAACAUUGAAAGUAAAAUUUUAUUGUAAUUUAUACACAUUUUUCUUUCUCAAAAAAAAAAAAACCAAACAAAAAAACGAAAAUAAAAAUAUCAGAUUUGUUAAGCAAUUCAAAUUUGCUUUAUAUAUGGUAGUUGUGAUAGUGUUGGUGGUAGGAGAGAUAGGCAUUAAAAUGAAGAAUCCAUGUUUAUUUUCUUUUUAUUGUUAUAUUCUCUUUUAUUUCAAUGUUAUUAUUUUGCUUUCUUUUUAGUUACCUUUAUUUUAUUUUUAAUUAAAUUUAAUUUUCUUUUAUACUUUCUCUUUUCAAAUAUCCAUUAAAAAUAUAAAAUAAAAUAAAUUUGAAAAGAGAAAUGAGAAUGAAUCUUUGAAGGAAUGAAAAUUAAUGGGCAAAAAAAAACGUUAUUUGAAUAUUUAUUUUAGUUUUAUUUCAUUUUAAAUGACAAGUUUUAAGGCAAAAGAUUUUGUCUGAAGAUGCAAAAUAUAUAUUUUUACCGCACGAAAAAGCGGAUAUGAUAAGGCAAUAAAUUCGGCAUAUUAAAGCAAUAUGGCCGAUACAUUUAGCUGACGUCGCAAAUCAGAAGUCAGCGAGUUUCUGGAGUGGGAUUUUAAAAUAUAUAUAUGUUUGUAUGUACAUAUGUAUGCAUGUAUGUAUGUACGUACAUAUGUAUGUAUGUGCAUGUGCAUGUGUAUAUGUAUAGGUGCAGCUAUAUAUAUAUAUAUAUAUACAUACACAUAUGUACUUACAUGCAUACAUACGCAUAUACAUUGUUCAGAAUUCGGCGUAUGUUUCUACGGUUUCAAUUAGAUACGCUCGUUAUUGUAUGUAUGUUUGUUUCUUUUGAGUUAAAAGAAUUUUCUACUGCAAUUCACUUAAUCUUCAUAGCUGUCCUUGUAGGUUUAGGUUAGGAAAAUCCGAAAUUCUACAGAUUAUUGAUAAGAUGAAAGAGGGAAUUAUCUUUCCUUCUGUUUCCUCUUUAAUAUAUUUUUGCCCUUCUUAUCUUAUAUGUUUUCCUAUUCUAAAUAAUAGACACAAAUAAAUAAUUUCAACUUUAUUAUGUAAAGUUUAAUGUAUUUAUUUAAAAUAGUCUUUGCAUGUGUUCUUGUUUUAAACGUGUGAGUGCGUUUUUGUGUAUGUAAACGUAAACACAAGUAUUUAAUGCGUAUACAUGUGUAUACGUGUAUAUAUACGCACAUUUAUAUGCAUAGAUACACACACACACAUAUAUAUAUAAAAUAGAAAAUUUCUAUUUGUAAAUCUUUCAACGAGAGAUAUUCAGUAAUAUAUAUAUAUAUCAUAUAUAUAUAUAUAUAUAUAUAUAUAUAUAUAUAUAUCUGCGGCUUAUGGUUUAUUCUCCUCAGUGUUUGUUGCAAAGUAGUUUGUAUGGAAAGACUAAGCAGAUAUUUCAAGAUACAAUUUCACGUGAAAAACCAUACUAUUAAUGAUAAUAAAAAUGCUUAUAAAAUAUAACGUUAAUAUUUUCAUAAUAAUAUUUAAAUACAAUGCAAAAACCAAUAGGCUUUGCUCUUAUUUCUAAUAUUGCUAUUCCUGUUCUUUAGGAGAUUCAGAAUUGUUCAUGUUUAUUUGGGAGGUAUUUCGUAACGGGGUAUUAUAGGUGAAGGAAUGUUUAGUGUGCAUAUAUAUAUAUAUAUAUAUAUAUAUAUAUAUAUAUAUAUACAUACAUAAGAAUCCUGAUGGGUGAAAUCUAUAUAAACUUAAGUAAAAAAAUAUUUUAGGCAAAUGCAUGGCUAUUCAUUGCACAUUUUGGACGUUAAGGCAUAUUCAUAAUAUGUAAAAAUGUCUUCUCAAACUAGGGAGAAAAUUUUCCAUCUGAGAGAGAAAGACAUUUAUAGUUCUCACCGUGGUCUUCUAAAUAUAUAUCUAUGUGUAUAUAUAUAUCUAAAUAUAUAUCUAUGUAUAUAUAUAUAUAUAUAUAUAUAUAUAUAUAUAUAUAUAUAUAUAUAUAUAUAUGUACAUAUAUAUAUGUAUGUAUGUAUGUAGGUGGUGUAAGUUUUAUUUUUUCUACACAAAAACCAGUGUGGCUAUGGAAAUAUGAUAGAAAUGAAAAUUUUUGAAAGAAAGCUGUAAAUGUCUUACAUUGUUUUAAGAAAAAUGGUAAAGGAAAUUGAAAAUAAACUUGAAUAGAAAUGAAGAAUUAUAAAAAAAAACGAAACCCAACCAGACAUGGUUGAUAUUGCAUAAUAAAUAAGGGAAUAAAUAAAUAAACUGAGUUUAUAUUUGUCGAGCAGUUGAGCAGGAAUCCACAUUUGGAUGAACAUCAGAGGAGUGAGGCCUCACUAAAUGCAUGUAUAUGUAAACUAUCAACCUAUAUGAUAUAUCAUAUAUAUAUAUAUUUAUAAAUAAUAUGCUAUAAGUAUAUAUCUGUAUAUAUAUAUAUAUAUAUAUAUAUAUAUAUAUAUAUAUAUAUAUAUAUAUAUAUAUAUAUAUAUAUAUAUAUAUAUAUACAUGGAAUAUGUAUAUGAUUAUGCGUGUGUGUGUUUGAGAGAGAGUCUGUGUGUAUGUUUGUAUAAUUUCAAUAAUAUAGGAAACUUUGAAAAUUCAAAUAAUAAAGGCUAUCUCGAAAGGUUGUUUUGUAUUACUGUAAAAAAUAAUUUUUUUUCUUAGAGGCUUGUAGAUUUAAGAUGGAAAUAAAAUGUCCUCAUGAAUUUUGAAGACAAGUUAUCAAUUCCAAUGUUUUGUUUUUCUUCUGAUUGUUUUCUUUUUUUUUACGUUUGUAAUAGCAGAUUAUUUUAACAAUAUUAUUUUUUUCCCUGAUCUAAAAAAAAAAAAAGUUGAAGUCAAAUUUCUCUUUGUUCAAUCCAGCGGCAGUUUCCAUAAGCAACUUGCUUCGCCAUCACUCGGCAUUUUUUGACAUUAAUGGGGAGAUAACAAUGGUUGAAACAAUUGGAAUGUCAUGACAGACCAAAUUUAUACAUUAUAUGUGUGUGUGUGUAUGAAUGUAUGUAUUCACUUUUCACAGUCAUCCAUUGAAAAGGCAAUGGAUGUUUUCUAAAUCAGAAACAAUAAAAAAAAGAAAAGAAAACAGCUAAAAAAUAAAUAAUUGUAAAAAGGAAAAUUAAAGAAACAAGGUUUGUAAAAUAGUGAAAGCCAAAAGAAGCUCAUAUUAAUGUUGGAAAUAUACAUAAAUGAAAAAUAAUAG
Molecule: long non-coding RNA, 3263 nt
Filed under: Octopus vulgaris (common octopus)
Lineage: Eukaryota; Metazoa; Mollusca; Cephalopoda; Octopoda; Octopodidae
Source: RNAcentral